GUGCUCUCUCUGGCAGUACAAAUACUCAGAUUGGAACGAUGCAGAGAUUAGCCUGGACCCUGCAUGAGGCUGACAUGCAAAUUCGUGUAGUGUUCCAUUAAAAA
Hyaena hyaena (striped hyena) is the source of this 104-nucleotide small nuclear RNA. Lineage: Eukaryota; Metazoa; Chordata; Mammalia; Carnivora; Hyaenidae. The record is from RefSeq and is a predicted model, not a curated record.